GUGGAUUAGAUACCCUGGUAGUCCACGCCGUAAACGAUGUCAACUAGCCGUAGGGAGCAUCUGGCUCUUUGUGGCGCAGCUAACGCGAUAAGUUGACCGCCUGGGGAGUACGGCCGCAAGGCUAAAACUCAAAUGAAUUGACGGGGGCCCGCACAAGCGGUGGAGCAUGUGGUUUAAUUCGAUGCAACGCGAAAAACCUUACCUGCCCUUGACAUGUCAGGAAUCUUUCAGAGAUGAGAGAGUGCCUUCGGGAACCUGAACACAGGUGCUGCACGGUCGUCGACAGCU
RNAcentral lists this ribosomal RNA (288 nucleotides) under uncultured bacterium. Its description in RNAcentral is "partial 16S ribosomal RNA". It matches the Rfam family "Bacterial small subunit ribosomal RNA", at positions 773 to 1060 of the family's 1533-position model. The record is from RNAcentral.